CGUGAGUAAUGAAGGCCCUAGGGUCGUAAAGCUCUUUCGCCUGUGAAGAUAAUGACGGUAGCAGUAGAAGAAACCCCGGCUAACUCCGUGCCAGCACCCGCGGUAAUACGGAGGGGGUUAGCGUUGUUUGGAAUUUCUGGGCGUAAAGCGUACGUAGGCGGAUUAAUAAGUUAGAGGUGAAAUCCCAGGGCUCAACCCUGGAACUGCCUUUAAAACUGUUAGUCUUGAGAUCGAGAGAGGUGAGUGGAAUUCCAAGUGUAGAGGUGAAAUUCGUAGAUAUUUGGAGGAACACCAGUGGCGAAGGCGGCUCUCUGGCUCGAUACUGACGCUGAGGUACGAAAGUGUGGGGAGCAAACACGAUUAGAUACCCUGGUAGUCCACACCGUAAACGAUGAAUGCCAGACGUCAGCAAGCAACUGUCGGUGUCACACCUAACGGAUAAGCAUCCGCCUGGAACGAACACAUA
Molecule: ribosomal RNA, 466 nt
Filed under: uncultured bacterium
Lineage: Bacteria
Description: bacterial SSU rRNA
Rfam family: Bacterial small subunit ribosomal RNA
Source: RNAcentral